This is a long non-coding RNA of Mustela erminea (ermine), 2374 nucleotides long. RefSeq lists it as uncharacterized. The transcript is spliced from 5 exons. The record is from RefSeq and is a predicted model, not a curated record. Lineage: Eukaryota; Metazoa; Chordata; Mammalia; Carnivora; Mustelidae.
UCUUCGUUGGAUCUUGAGUUUGUUAGGAGUUGGAAGAUAAAGAAGAAAGAACCAGCACGAAUCGGAGCCUCACUUUGCAAGAAGGGGUCUAAAGGAGAUAAAUGAUGCUGCAAACUCCAGUCUUCCAGCUGUGUGGAGAAACUGGCUCCCCAGAGAGAAGAUGGGGCCCAUAGGACAUGCUAGCAUGGGGCGUGCUUGGCAAACAGAAGGUCUCAGCUUUCUUCUCCUUUGAGGUCUGACAAUGAAAGAGCACACUUGCUUUGUGAGCUGCUGCUGAGUCGUGACGUCAUGAUACAUGGGAUGCUGUCUAAUUCUCAUUAGAAGGCUACAUACUCGCUUGUUGGACGUAUGCGUGACACGACACAGGCUCUGGGGAGACGACUCUACCACAGAAUCUCAGAGAGGGAAGAGGAGAACACAGCCUAGGGCAUCGUUUUUCCAACCGGCUCGUUUAAGGAUGUAAGGUCUCCUCCAGCCUUAAGUUCUUUAGGAUUUGGUACACACCUAAGUCCCUAACAUCUUUGUAGUGCUGCAUCACGCAGGUGUGUGAUAGAGUCUGGACCACUGACAUCGGAUGAUGGCCCUGGUGGCCCACACGGGACACGCCAUGCUCUCUCUCUGCAGUGGGACUUGGCAGCUCUUCUCAUCAAACAGUGGGAUAUAACCCCCCAGCUCUUGAAUCAAGGAAACUCUUGUGACUUUCUUUGGCCAAUAAAACCCACCAUAUGACAUACCAGUUCUCAAGAGGACAUGCUAAUUUCAGUUCUCUGUCUUGGACCUGUCUCUGCCAUAGAAUAAAACCAGGCUACCCUCCUGGAGGAUGAGAGCUCAUGUGAAAUAGAACUGGGUGACCCUGCUGAGGCCACCUGAGACCAGCCCUCCCACAGUCCACCCUCGGGUGAAGCUGGGAUCCCUGAGCUCAGGCCCGAUCAUCAGAACCUCCCAGCUGACCCACAGACUCAUGAACACAACUCUGGGGUUUUGUGGUGGUUUGUCACCUGGCAUUAUUGUAGUAAUAGGCACUGAUACAGCUACAUAACAGGUACCUUUCCUGCAACUUCUCUCGCCUUCUGAGACUUGGGAUACAACGAGAGCUCUGCAGUUAGCCAGUCGUGUGAUCUGCUGCAGUUUCCUAACCCCUGAGCCUGUAAAACUGGUGAUACAUUAGGACCACAGACAUUCACGCCCAUGGUCAGGACCCUACAAAUGUUACCUAUUCAACACAACACAGCUGCGAGGUCAAAAUUGUAAGUCCACUUUCUGGAUAUCUGGGGCCCAGAGAUAGAAGCCACAUUCAAGGCCACGUCACUGUUGUUAAUUUCAUAUAUGACAGAGAGAAAAAUACACUUGUCCAAACCCAGGAAAGGGCCUAGUGAGACGGAAUUCCCAGGGUAGUGAAAAUGUGGUAAAUCUCAAGGGAUGUCUAGGAUUCUUUGAACCAUAAUUGUGUGGCAAACAAAUGCGUGUUGUCUCUGGAGCUCUGACAUUAGUCCUGCCCGUUUCUGAUCCCAGGAGCAGACACUGAAUUCCUUUUUGACAGUUUCUACGGAGGCAGCCAACAACAGUGCAAAGCGAAAGCUGAUGUGGGGAAAAUCAUGGAACACAAUAAAAGGGAGAUGGGGCUCCAUCAACGGUCACUUGUAUUAGUUUCAAACUGGGAGUGGGGGAUAAGACAAGAAAGGCGGGCCGUGAGGAGGCAAGGGACUUCACUUUGUCUGGAAACCUCCCUCCUGGUUACAGCCAGUGGCCGUGUGGCCACCGAUGUCCUAGGUCAAGGAGCAGGUUUCGGGAUGUUCAGAGCUGCACCUAACAAGGAGGGCUGCAUUAGAAUCACGUGAAAACUGCCAUGGUUCUGGAAAAUCGUUGUGUUGCAUCGGUUUACACAACUGCUGCACCGCUGACGAGUAACUGCCUGGCCCGGGGGCUCUGACCGGACGACGGGGUGAUUCAGUGGGACGUGAUUUUCUGACCACGGAAGUGCCACACCACGCACACUGCCGACUGGCUGGGUUUUCUGCUCUGAGAACAGAUUCCAGAGCAAACACUGGCUGGGGGCUCCCUACGUGCCCCAUGUGCUCCCAGCUACCUUACACAGAGUUAGUCCUCUUCCCUGCUAACGGUCUUUGAGUUGGGCAUUGUCACUGUCCUCGUUACACAGAUGGGGAACCUGAGCAUGUGGGGACAUGGACAGUGAGUGGCCAUGCCCGGAUUCCAGCCCAGAAAGUCUGGUUUCAAGCUAUAUGCCUGUUGACAGUGUUAACUGGGCUUUUAUAACCAUGCUUUAAUUUUUAUUGUCACCAUCUGAGGAACGUGUUGUGUAGAGUGGGGAGCGUGAACAGCCCUUUCACACAGGGCAGAAAGUGGGGGGACACGG